AAAAAAGAUUGGAAGUGGAACCGAUUUUCCGGAAGAGGUCUUCGGCUUGCUCUGAUAUGAUAAGAAUGUUCGCUCCCUCUCCCUGUCAACAUACAUGGGAUUGACCAGCCCCCUAUCUUAGAGGGUUUACCCCAUGGUCAGUUUGCGAUGAAAGAAACUUCAGAAUGCAGCCCAUAUAGUCCUAUCAAUAUACAAGGCUUUUCAAUUCAGUGAAAGACAAGAGAGGUGGUGAACACAAACUCGACUGAUAAAGGAGAGGUCCAGAGGUAUUAACUAGUUGAUGAGGUCUCAACGAGCGACUAAAAGGAGAGGUACUGACGUGACUCGAGUGAAACUAUAUUGAGGAGAGUGUUUACUUCUCUGUCGCUUCCGUACUUCUUUAACUUCUUUUUAGCUUAUUAACCGAUGGCUGGGGAGGAUGAAGUGGUGGACCCGUAUUGACUGGAUGAGAUGGUCCCUCUGCACCGCGUGAUAAUGUGAGUACUUGCACCCCCGUCUGAUGGUACUUGGACUGUCACCGUGAAAGAGGGUCAAGAACCACUUUACUUUCAGCUCGUAGCGGAAAGAGCAGAUUAACUUUCAGUUUCUCAUAUGGAGUCCCAUAUGCUUAGCCAUCAGCUGACUCCAAAACACUAACCAAGCUUCUUCUCGCUUCUCAAAGCUUUGAUGGUGUAGUCGAAGUCCGUAUGAGUCUUUGUCUGUGUGUCUUCUAACAAGGAUAUACUACUUAGGCUUUUAAGAUCGGGUUGCGGUUUAAGUUCCUAUACUCAAUCAUACACAUGACAUCAAGUCAUAUUCGACUCCAAAACACUAACCAAGCUUCGUCUUGCUUCUCAAACCUUUGAUGGUGUAGCCAAAGUCCGUAUGAGUCUUUGGCUUUGGCCGAUUGGUUGGAAGGUAAGGAUAGCGUGAUUGGCCGAUUGGUUGGAAGGUAAGGAUAGCAUGAUUGGUUGGAAGGUAAACAACCAGAGCUUGAAUCCGUCUUCACUGACACCGUUGAUUUUGAUUAAGCUGCAGAGCCUAUCAAAUUCAUCCAAGUGGUCGAGUGGGUAUUCCAUAGGCAGACCAUGUAACUUGUUUCCCUGAAUCAUCGAGAUGAGACCACUCUUAAUCUCGAAGAUGUGUUUUGGACAGCAGGAGGUGCAAUUCCUUUCCACUGACGGUGAUUCCUUGGUGCAUCUCUAGCACCAAUGUUUGCGGGUCCACUUUGUUGAUUUUGUUCAUCAGCCAUUUCGAGUGGUUGGUGGUGCACAAGGUUGACUGUGUUUCUCCGUUCCAGUAGUUCGCGAGCAAUGCAGUCGAUAUUAUCAUUGUAAAUGAGGUUCUGGUUGCCGUUUGAUCAAGUUUGCAUACAGUAGAGGUGUACCUGGAUCAAGAAAAACACACAGUUAGUAAUUGAAAUAAAAAUUGAAAAAGAACUUGAUCUAAGCAAGUCUGAAAUCUUAAAUGUAACAAACAAACACCCAAUUGGCAACUUCACUAAAUUGAUAAUAGGUUUUUAAGA
This 1504-nucleotide small RNA is filed under the name Arabidopsis thaliana (thale cress). RNAcentral describes it as "ATSL091940". Lineage: Eukaryota; Viridiplantae; Streptophyta; Magnoliopsida; Brassicales; Brassicaceae. The record is from RNAcentral.